CCUACGUGAGGCAACAGUGAGGAAUAUUGGUCAAUGGGCGCGAGCCUGAACCAGCCAAGUAGCGUGAAGGAUGACUGCCCUACGGGUUGUAAACUUCUUUUAUAAAGGAAUAAAGUGAGGCACGUGUGCCUUUUUGUAUGUACUUUAUGAAUAAGGAUCGGCUAACUCCGUGCCAGCAGCCGCGGUAAUACGGAGGAUCCGAGCGUUAUCCGGAUUUAUUGGGUUUAAAGGGAGCGUAGAUGGGUUGUUAAGUCAGUUGUGAAAGUUUGCGGCUCAACCGUAAAAUUGCAAUUGAUACUGGCAGUCUUGAGUACAGUUGAGGUAGGCGGAAUUCGUGGUGUAGCGGUGAAAUGCUUAGAUAUCACGAAGAACUCCGAUUGCGAAGGCAGCUUACUAAACUGCCACUGACAUUGAUGCUCGAAAGUGUGGGUAUCAAACAGGAUUAGAUACCCUAGUAGUC
Molecule: ribosomal RNA, 460 nt
Filed under: uncultured bacterium
Lineage: Bacteria
Description: partial 16S ribosomal RNA
Rfam family: Bacterial small subunit ribosomal RNA
Source: RNAcentral